AAGAUUCGGAGGCAUUCGAAGAUGGGGAGCAUUUGAAGAUUGAGAGCAUUUCAGAGAUCAAGAAGAAUAGAAGAGUUCUGAAGUGAAGCAACAACGAAGUUCGUGAUCAAGCAGCAACGAAGUUCGUGAUCAAGUAACAACGAAGUUCGUGAUCAAGCAGCAACGAAGUUCGUGAUCAAGAUAUCAAGCGAAGUUCGUGAUCAAGAUUAAGUCGUGAAGACCCUUGAAGCGAGGAUCAAGUGUUCGUGACCAAGACUAAGUCGUGAAGACCUUUGACGCAAAGAUCAAGCACGUUCGUGAUCAUGACUAAGUCAUCGUGAAGACCCUUGACGUGAAGAUCAAGCACAUUCGUGACCUUUGACGCGAAGAUCAAGCACGUUCGUGAUCAAGACUAAGUCGUGAAGACCCUUGACGCGAAGAUCAUGUACGUUCGUGAUCAAGACUAAGUCGUGAAGACCCUUGAAGCGAAGAUCAACCAAGUUCGUGAUCAAGACUAAGUCCAAGUUCGUGACUCUUGAAGACGAAUUGAAGAAAUUAAUCAGAGGAAUUUCCAGAGAUCAUCACUCACUUCAUCAAAUAUUUGUAUUUGUCUCAUAAUUUUCAAGUCAAGAAAUUUUGACGAGAAAUUUGUGUGUACAUACAUACUUGAGAUUAUUGAUGAGUUGUGCCUCUCAUUUG
Molecule: long non-coding RNA, 678 nt
Filed under: Theobroma cacao (cacao)
Lineage: Eukaryota; Viridiplantae; Streptophyta; Magnoliopsida; Malvales; Malvaceae
Description: long non-coding RNA (TCAC_LNC001533)
Source: RNAcentral